This is a long non-coding RNA of Poecilia latipinna (sailfin molly), 150 nucleotides long. RefSeq lists it as uncharacterized. Lineage: Eukaryota; Metazoa; Chordata; Actinopteri; Cyprinodontiformes; Poeciliidae. The record is from RefSeq and is a predicted model, not a curated record. The transcript is spliced from 3 exons.
UCAAGUGAUAUUUUAAAAUUUCCUGUCAACUUUCAACAUUUUUUAACUGAAAAACACGGCAGGCUACUGGACGAAUGACUGCCCUGGCGCCCAACCACCAGGCUUAGCAAGUUUUCUGAGGGAAACCUUGAUGUUACACUGGAAAAAAAA